This 258-nucleotide ribosomal RNA is filed under the name Vibrio cholerae. RNAcentral's name for it is "partial 23S ribosomal RNA". It matches the Rfam family "Bacterial large subunit ribosomal RNA", at positions 58 to 324 of the family's 2925-position model. Lineage: Bacteria; Pseudomonadati; Pseudomonadota; Gammaproteobacteria; Vibrionales; Vibrionaceae. The record is from RNAcentral.
GUGACGAACCACGAAAGGCUACGGAGAGCUGUAAGUAAGCUAAGACCCGUAGAUAUCCGAAUGGGGGAACCCGGUGCAGCGAUGCAUCAUUAAAUACUGUUAAGGUAUUUAAAGGAAGACGCAGUGAACUGAAACAUCUAAGUAGCUGCAGGAAGAGAAAGAAAAAUCGAUUUCCUAAGUAGCGGCGAGCGAAAGGGAAAGAGCCCAAACCAUUGAAUUUAUUCAGUGGGGUUGUAGGACUACGAUGUGAGACAGAGA